UGGAAAUUUGAGAGGAGCUGUCCUUAGUACGAGAGGACCGGGAUGGACUUACCGCUGGUGUACCAGUUGUCUCGCCAGAGGCAUCGCUGGGUAGCUAUGUAGGGAAGGGAUAAACGCUGAAAGCAUCUAAGUGUGAAGCCCACCUCAAGAUGAGAUUUCCCAUUUCUUUAAGAAAGUAAGAUCCCUGAGAGAUGAUCAGGUAGAUAGGUCAGAAGUGGAAGGCCAGUGAUGGUUGGAGCGGACUGAUACUAAUCGAUCGAGGACUUAACCAAAAA
This 275-nucleotide ribosomal RNA is filed under the name Listeria monocytogenes. RNAcentral's name for it is "partial 23S ribosomal RNA". It matches the Rfam family "Bacterial large subunit ribosomal RNA", at positions 2655 to 2925 of the family's 2925-position model. Lineage: Bacteria; Bacillati; Bacillota; Bacilli; Caryophanales; Listeriaceae. The record is from RNAcentral.